RNAcentral lists this ribosomal RNA (468 nucleotides) under uncultured bacterium. RNAcentral's name for it is "partial 16S ribosomal RNA". It matches the Rfam family "Bacterial small subunit ribosomal RNA", at positions 28 to 507 of the family's 1533-position model. The record is from RNAcentral.
GACGAACGCUGGCGGCGUGCUUAACACAUGCAAGUCGAACGGCAAGGCCCUGCUUUUGUGGGGUGCUCGAGUGGCGAACGGGUGAGUAACACGUGAGUAACCUGCCCUUGACUUUGGGAUAACUUCAGGAAACUGGGGCUAAUACCGGAUCGGAGCUCCUGCUGCAUGGUGGGGGUUGGAACGUUUCGGCGGUUGGGGAUGGACUCGCGGCUUAUCAGCUUGUUGGUGGGGUAGUGGCUUACCAAGGCUUUGACGGGUAGCCGGCCUGAGAGGGUGACCGGCCACAUUGGGACUGAGAUACGGCCCAGACUCCUACGGGAGGCAGCAGUGGGGAAUAUUGCACAAUGGGCGGAAGCCGGAUGCAGCAACGCCGCGUGCGGGAUGACGGCCUUCGGGUUGUAAACCGCUUUCGCCUGUGACGAAGCGUGAGUGACGGUAAUGGGUAAAGAAGCACCGGCUAACUACGUG